RNAcentral lists this transfer RNA (77 nucleotides) under Escherichia coli. RNAcentral's name for it is "tRNA-Ile". It matches the Rfam family "tRNA". From Rfam's summary of the family: Transfer RNA (tRNA) molecules are approximately 80 nucleotides in length. Their secondary structure includes four short double-helical elements and three loops (D, anti-codon, and T loops). Lineage: Bacteria; Pseudomonadati; Pseudomonadota; Gammaproteobacteria; Enterobacterales; Enterobacteriaceae. The record is from RNAcentral.
GGCUACGUAGCUCAGUUGGUUAGAGCACAUCACUAAUAAUGAUGGAGUCACAGGUUCGAAUCCCGUCGUAGCCACCA